GUUGGCGGCGUGGAUUAGGCAUGCAANUCGUACGGGCCGCNAGGCCAGUGGCGCAAGGGUGAGUAAGGCGACGGUAACCAACCCCAUGAUUGGGUAUAGCCGCGGGAAACCGCGGGUAAUCCCCAGCGACGCAACGACACCGGCCUCGGUGUUUUGCCAAAGCUUCGGCGUCGUGGGACGGGCUGUCGUGGUAUUAGGUAGUUGGCGGGGUAACGGCCCACCAAGCCGACGAUGCCUACCGGGCGUGCGAGCGUGGCCCGGCACACUGGGACUGAGACACUGCCCAGACUCCUACGGGAGGCUGCAGUCGAGAAUCUUCGGCAAUGGGCGCAAGCCUGACCGAGCGACGCCGCGUGGAGGACGAAGGCCUUCGGGUUGUAAACUCCUGUCGAGGGGGAAGAAGGCUCCGCAAGUAGCUUGACUGAUCCCUGGAGGAAGCACGGGCUAAGUUCGUGCCAGCAGCCGCGGUAAGACGAACCGUGCGAACGUUAUUCGGAAUCACUGGGCUUAAAGCGCGUGUAGGCGGAUGAGCACGUCUGUCGCUGAAAUCCCCCGGCUCAACCGGGGAACGGGCGUGGAUACGGCUUGUCUGGAGGGGCGUAGGGGG
RNAcentral lists this ribosomal RNA (607 nucleotides) under uncultured soil bacterium. Its description in RNAcentral is "bacterial SSU rRNA". It matches the Rfam family "Bacterial small subunit ribosomal RNA", at positions 35 to 658 of the family's 1533-position model. The record is from RNAcentral.